This 433-nucleotide ribosomal RNA is filed under the name uncultured bacterium. RNAcentral describes it as "partial 16S ribosomal RNA". It matches the Rfam family "Bacterial small subunit ribosomal RNA", at positions 29 to 507 of the family's 1533-position model. The record is from RNAcentral.
AACGAACGCUGGCGGCAUGCCUAACACAUGCAAGUCGAACGAGACCUUCGGGUCUAGUGGCGCACGGGUGCGUAACGCGUGGGAACCUGCCCUUGGGUUCGGAAUAACUCCCCGAAAGGGAUGCUAAUACCGGAUAAUGUCUUCGGACCAAAGAUUUAUCGCCUUUGGAUGGGCCCGCGUUGGAUUAGCUAGUUGGUAGGGUAAAAGCCCACCAAGGCGACGAUCCAUAGCUGGUCUGAGAGGAUGAUCAGCCACACUGGGACUGAGACACGGCCCAGACUCCUACGGGAGGCAGCAGUAGGGAAUAUUGGACAAUGGGCGAAAGCCUGAUCCAGCAAUGCCGCGUGAGUGAUGAAGGCCUUAGGGUUGUAAAGCUCUUUUACCCGGGAUGAUAAUGACAGUACCGGGAGAAUAAGCUCCGGCUAACUCCGUG